CUACUUUUACUUAACUAUUAAUACGAAAGGACCAUAGUUAUAUAAUAAUUAUUUAUUUAUUGAUUAAUAUUAAUUAUUUUGGCAGAAAAGUGCCAUGAAUUUAGAAUUCAUAAAUAUAGGUUAAUCCUAUAGAUAGUAC
RNAcentral lists this transfer RNA (139 nucleotides) under Trithemis aurora (dawn dropwing). RNAcentral describes it as "partial contains 16S ribosomal RNA and tRNA-Leu". The record is from RNAcentral. Lineage: Eukaryota; Metazoa; Arthropoda; Insecta; Odonata; Libellulidae.